Molecule: non-coding RNA, 94 nt
Organism: Mycena latifolia
Lineage: Eukaryota; Fungi; Basidiomycota; Agaricomycetes; Agaricales; Mycenaceae
Source: the annotation of a GenBank genome assembly
GGCCUGGUGGUGUAGUGGUAACAUGCUUGCUUUAGUUUCCUCUGGAAUUUAAUGUCUUUAGCAGAAGAUCCUUGUUCGACCCAAGGUCAGGCCA